AAUAGAUGAUACCGUUGACUUUUUCUCACAUGUUUGACCAUUCGUCUUAUUCAAAAAAUGUAAUUAUAAUUUAUUUUGUUAUGAGUUGUUUUAUCACUCAUAGUACUUUAAGUGUGAUUUAUAUCUUAUACAUCUACAUAAAAUUUUUGAAUAAGACGAAUGGUCAAACAUGUAAGAAAAAAUCAACAGCGUCAUUUAUU
This 200-nucleotide microRNA precursor is filed under the name Oryza barthii. RNAcentral's name for it is "MIR812 microRNA precursor family". It matches the Rfam family "MIR812 microRNA precursor family". The record is from Rfam by way of RNAcentral. Lineage: Eukaryota; Viridiplantae; Streptophyta; Magnoliopsida; Poales; Poaceae.